This 210-nucleotide ribosomal RNA is filed under the name Sphaerotheca sp. Spt. RNAcentral's name for it is "partial 16S ribosomal RNA". It matches the Rfam family "Archaeal large subunit ribosomal RNA", at positions 1931 to 2176 of the family's 2987-position model. Lineage: Eukaryota; Metazoa; Chordata; Amphibia; Anura; Dicroglossidae. The record is from RNAcentral.
CGUUGAUCAGCAUGUCAGCCUGCCAGUGACAUAGUUAAACGGCCGCGGUACCCUGACCGUGCGAAGGUAGCAUAAUCACUUGUUCCUUAAAUAGGGACUUGUAUGAUAGGCAUCACGAGGGCUUUACUGUCUCCUUUCUCCAAUCAGUGAAACUGAUCUCCCCGUGAAGAAGCGGGGAUAUAAUUAUAAGACGAGAAGACCCUAUGGAGA